Molecule: ribosomal RNA, 484 nt
Filed under: uncultured bacterium
Lineage: Bacteria
Description: partial 16S ribosomal RNA
Rfam family: Bacterial small subunit ribosomal RNA
Source: RNAcentral
AUUGAACGCUGGCGGCAGGCCUAACACAUGCAAGUCGAGCGGAUGAAGGGAGCUUGCUCCUGGAUUCAGCGGCGGGCGGGUGAGUAAUGCCUAGGAAUCUGCCUGGUAGUGGGGGAUAACGUCCGGAAACGGGCGCUAAUACCGCCUACGACCUGAGGGAGAAAGUGGGGGAUCUUUGGACCUCACGCUAUCAGAUGAGCCUAGGUGGGGUUAGCUAGUUGGUGGGGUAAAGGGCUACCAAGGCGAGGAUCCGUAUCUGGUCUGAGAGAAUGAUCAGUCACACUGGAGCGGAAACACGGUCCUGACUCCUACGGGAGGCAGCAGUGGGGAAUAUUGGGCAAUGGGCGAAAGCCUGAUCCAGCCAUGCCGCGUGUGUGAAGAAGGUCUUCGGAUUGUAAAGCACUUUAAGUGGGGAGGAAGGGCAGUAAGUUAAUACCUUGCUGUUUUGACGUUACCAACAGAAUAAGCACCGGCUAACUUCGUG